UUAAUAGGGCGAUUAGUUUUAUGAAUUAGACCCGAAAACGAAUGAGCUUACCAUGAGCAGGUUGAAUGCAAGGUAACACUUGCUGGAGGACCGAACCAGUUGACGUUGAAAAGUCUUUGGAUGACUUGUGGUAAGGGGUGAAAGGCCAACCAAAUUCGUAGAUAGCUGGUUUUCCGCGAAAACUAUUUAGGUAGUGCGUUAAGUAAAUAUAUGUUUAGAGGUAGAGCACUAAAUGGGCUAGGGGGAAGAGAUUCUUACCAAACCUAAUAAAACUCCGAAUGCUAAAUGUAGUUCCUUAACAGACAGACUAUGGGUGCUAAGGUCCAUGGUCGAGAGGGAAAGAGCCCAGACCACCAGAUAAGGUCCCAAAAUUGUGAUUAAGUGUGAAAGGAUGUGGAAAUUCCUUAACAGCCGGGAGGUUGGCUUAGAAGCAGCCAUCCUUUAAAGAUAGCGUAACAGCUCACCGGUCUAAUAGAGUUUCUGCGCCGAAGAUGUAACGGGGCUAAAAUCACAUACCGAAUCUGUGGGUUUAUAAAGUUUUUAACUUUAUAAGCGGUAGCGGAACGUUCUGUAAGCCUGUAAAGGGAUACCCGCGAGGGAUCCUGGAGGUAUCAGAAGUGCGAAUGCUGACAUGAGUAACGAUAAAAGAAGUGAAAAACUUCUUCGCCGAAAAUCCAAGGGUUUCUGCGCAAGGUUAAUCCGCGCAGAGUUAGUCGGCCCCUAAGGCGAGGGCGAAAGCCGUAGUCGAUGGAAAUAAGGUUAAUAUUCCUUAACCAGAUGGAAGUGACGGAUUUUGUAAGUUGUGUGUUCUUAAUGGAUUGAACAUGCUGUGAAAAAGUCCCAGGAAAUAGCUCCAUCAUUAGACCGUACCCUAAACCGACACAGGUGGAUUAAUAGAGUAUAUUUAGGCGCUUGAGAGAAUGAUGUUGAAGGAACUCGGCAAAAUGCUUCUGUAACUUCGGAAUAAAGAGACCAUUUAGUGGGCACACCAUUAAAAGGUGGCACAAGCCAGGGAGAAGCGACUGUUUAUCAAAAACACAGGGCUCUGCUAACACGUAAGUGGAUGUAUAGGGUCUGACGCCUGCCCGGUGCUGGAAGGUUAAUGCGAUGGGUGCAAGCUCAUUUCUGAAGCCCCAGUAAACGGCGGCCGUAACUAUAACGGUCCUAAGGUAGCGAAAUUCCUUGUCGGGUAAGUUCCGACCUGCAUGAAUGGCGUAACGAUUUCUCCGCUGUCUCCAACAUCAACUCAGUGAAAUUGAAUUCUCCGUGAAGAUGCGGAGUUCGCGUAGUUAGACGGAAAGACCCCGUGCACCUUUACUGCAACUUUACAUUGGUGUUAGGAAAAACAUAUUUAGCAUAGGAGGGAGACAUUGAAGCAAGAGCGUCAGCUU
Molecule: ribosomal RNA, 1391 nt
Filed under: marine metagenome
Description: bacterial LSU rRNA
Rfam family: Bacterial large subunit ribosomal RNA
Source: RNAcentral